Arabidopsis thaliana (thale cress) is the source of this 593-nucleotide long non-coding RNA. RefSeq annotates it as other RNA. The record is from RefSeq. Lineage: Eukaryota; Viridiplantae; Streptophyta; Magnoliopsida; Brassicales; Brassicaceae. The transcript has a single exon.
ACUCUGCCUCCUUUUGUCCUCUAUAUAGUCUCUUGUCUACAUUUAUUUUACUUCACAGUGUGCAUAUACUAUCAAUUUGUAUUAGAGAGAUCUCAAAGAGAAAUCAAAAUGGAGUGAUAGGUUGUAUUAUGAGGAUUCGCAGAGCUUUUAAAAUGGCAGCCAACAACAUUCUAUGAACUAAGUUAAACAGUGUUAUGAAACAUAAAUAAUUUCAUUUGCAAUAACCAAAGAGAAUAAUAUUUAUUUAUUUUCUUUGGCUCUAUCAUCUAAUAGGAGGAGAAGUAAAAAAAACAGAAGAGAAAGAUCCAAUCAUUCUAGAAAGGAACACAAUAUGCUUCACGGAUCCCAAGAAUCUUUCUAUGCCUGCCUAAACCCAGCAAUAUAAAUCAAACCUUCACACGCUUCGGUUCUUCUUUACACGUGCCGGAAAAAAAACCCUAGUAGUAGCCGCCCAAUGACCAUCUAAAGUGGUCCCCGUGAUGACACGUGUCAGUUGGACCACUAUCCGUAACUUAACAUGAAAGCACAUGUGGGGUCCCCUCUUUCGUCCUUUGCCCUACCAGUUCCUUGUCCUAGCCCACAAUACAAUCUAC